This 75-nucleotide transfer RNA is filed under the name Marchantia polymorpha subsp. ruderalis. RNAcentral's name for it is "tRNA-Arg". It matches the Rfam family "tRNA". Rfam says of the family: Transfer RNA (tRNA) molecules are approximately 80 nucleotides in length. Their secondary structure includes four short double-helical elements and three loops (D, anti-codon, and T loops). The record is from RNAcentral. Lineage: Eukaryota; Viridiplantae; Streptophyta; Marchantiopsida; Marchantiales; Marchantiaceae.
GGCCCAUUAGCUCGUUGGUUAGAGCGUCGCGCUUCGAGCACGGAGGUAACAGGUUCGAUUCCUGUAUGGGCCCUU